This is a non-coding RNA of Peromyscus maniculatus bairdii (prairie deer mouse), 2637 nucleotides long. The record is from RefSeq and is a predicted model, not a curated record. Lineage: Eukaryota; Metazoa; Chordata; Mammalia; Rodentia; Cricetidae.
AUGAGAUUCCAAGAGCAUUAGUCACUUGAAAGCGUCUGUGGUGAACAACAGAGCCGAGGCCAGCUCAGUCCUUUCUGAGACGCUGAAGGAAGGGCACACACAAAAGGCUGACGCUCCAGUCUGAUAUUCAAGAGCAAAUGACAACUCUUAACACUCGCCCUGCUCUGAACUGCUCAAGAAAAUAUGAAAGUAAUUUUCAAAAGCUCUUGGCUUGACGCUUCUUUCCUAAAAGAAAAUCCUCUCCAGAGCCUUUGAUUAAAGAAGGGUGUAAUCACUCUUUCUGAUUCACUCUGAUUUCACCUCAAAGGGGACCUGAGGUUUCUUUAUACCAAGUUGACUCUUACUUCAAACCAGAGGCAGAAGAAGAAGGAGGGGGAAAAAAAAGAAAGCCAAGUCGGUUUGAGCAGCCUCUCCCACAGGCUGGGAACAUCAGGGGUAUUUACAGAUGUUAAACUGAACCUUUAAAAACAGAAAUUGCCUGCCCCUGUCUGACUCGGCAUCUAAGGCGAAGAGUCUCAGUCUCUCUGGCGUGACACCGGUCUUGUGCAACCUCUGAUAUGUGUAAAGUAACUGAGGCACAAGAUGUGUUUCUGGCUCCAUCGCUGCUUUUGACCUGGUUGUUGUAGUUUAUAAUGAAAGUGGGUGCCUUUUUGUUUUGUUUUAAAUAAGGAUCACGAAAAAUGACUUUAAAAGAAGAAUGUAUGAUGUGUUGUGUGUGAAGAGUCCAAGGCGAGAAUCAGCAUCCUGUCCUGCCCAGGGAUGCACGGGGCUGCAGCAGCACCCAGGCCGGUGCCCAGAGGAGUUUUCCCAUGACUUGAACAAAGAGCUGAAAUUCUCUGCACAUUAUUGUUAUCGGCCAGAACCUACUUGGUAAAAUCAGGCUUCUCACUCUCCCCUGAUAGAUGAACUGUUUCUAGCCAGGAAACCAUCUUUGAAUUCCUGACAAAUUCCCGAGGCGUAGGAACAUAUUCCAGGCACAUCUGUGGAAGUCAAAGUACAGCAGGCAGGAGUCUAUUCUCUCACCAUGGGGAUGGUGGGGAGUCAAAUUCAGGUUAUCUGGCUUGGUGGCCAGCACCUUAAUCCACUGAACCAUCUUCCUGGCCCCAAUUACACACAGCGUUACCUUUUGGUCUGGCUUUUGGGCUCCUGGCCAUAACUUACAUCCUCACCAAACCUAAGCAGAACUAUUUACAGCAGCAACUUUCUCCAGAAUUGCCAAAACGUGGAAGAAAUCCAGAUUCCCUGCAGUCAGCGAUUGGAUAGACAGAGGUGUGCUGUGUGCAGACAAUGGAGUGUUACUUAGCCAUAAAAAGAGAAAGGAGCUCACAAGCCACAGAAAGACAUUGAGGGACUUGUGGUGCACAUCACUGGAUGCAAAAGGCAAUCUGGAAAGAGAGCAAGCUGUGUGCUUCCAUUAUAUGUUCUAGAAAAGGCAAAGUGAAUGAGGCAAUGAGAGAUCUGUUUCCCAUGGUGCAAGGUGCCGGGGUGAAGGAUGAAUGCGUGAAUAAUGGGGAUCUUUCAGGCAGCAGGAUGGAUAUAAUGGUGAUGGAUACAUGAUGUUACACAUCUGUCAAAGUCCUCAGAAUGUAAGCAGAGUGAAGGCUAAUGUAAACUACAUAAUCAUGGUGCAUCGAUGCUGACUGAUCACAGGUAGAAUACACACAACCAGAACACACAACCUUGAUAAUAAGAGAAAUGGUGAGUGAGGGAAGGGGGCGGGGGCUGAGAACUUCACCUGCUACUCAGUUCUCUGUAAGUCAAAUCCCAGGCAAGCUGUUUGCCACACAAGCGAGGCCACCUGGGUUGUAGGACACAGAACCUAUGUCGAAGCUGUUCUCCUAUGUGUCUCUGAUGAUUGGCAGAUGGGGACAGGAUUGAGUCCAGAGGCUCAAGAGUCUGCCAGCCUGACUUGUAUGACAACAAAGAAACCUAUCUCAAGCAAGAAAAUGGAAUGCCACUUUAAGACAAGACGCACCCAGAACUGGCAUAGAGCAGCUAGCGAUGUGCUGGAUGUGUGAGUGCCCAGCACACUGAAGCAGGGCGCACAGUAGACACGGAGCUAAUGGCCGAGGAGACGGCGCAGAGUCGGGAGGAUCUCCACACACUUGGGCGAGCCAUCGGCUACUGUGUGAACACGUCCACCCAAGGCUGGGGUCGGGAACUUACGUCCCGGUACCACGGCGGCAUCUAGUGAGAGGUGGUUAGUGACGAGGACGAAGGGGAAGGACCGAUACUCAGCCGAGCUGAGGUGUUCCCUUUCUCCUCGCUGUGAACAAAUACCCAAGAGGCAACUUCCAGGAAAGGUUGGAGGAGACCAAGUCAUGGUGGGUGGGGAUUCCUCACGUCUCCAUGGAUCAGGAAGCAAAGCAAGAACAGGAAGGGCAAAUAGGCCGUAAAACCUUUGUACCGCCCCCUAGUGGCCGACACAGACACAGACUCACACACACACACACACACACCUUCACAAGUAGUGGAUCAAGCACAUGGAACACAGGAGUGGGGGGGGGGGACAUUGCACAUUGAAUCCAUGAUGUGGGAGGAACACAAAGUCAGCGCUCUCUCCCCCUUCCACUCCUUCCCUCCCUCUCCCCCCUUCUCUCUCUCUCUCUCUCUCUCUCUCUCUCUCUCUCUCUCUCU